AGUACAGAUCUCCGAAGAAUCCUAUUCACGGAUCAUCUUAGAGCAGAUCCCCUAGAAGCGGAGCCUGACGUGGGGAUUCUUGUGCUAAUGAUUUAUUGAGGAAGCACUCCCAGGAAAAGGGAAGCUGGUUAAGCAGCAGGGGGAGCUAACCAAGAACGUGGUUGAAACAGAUAUCUGCUCAGUCUGAUCCCAUGGGCAACUCUGGAACAUGAAUUUCACCAGAGUCGGUCCUGUCUGGAGGGAAGGGAGCCAAGUUUUUGUAAACCUCUCUACUAGUCACUCAUUGGCUGAGGACUGUGGGUGGUGGGGUGAGGAUGAGAGUCUAACCUCCUGGGCUAAGUGGUUCCAGGUGGCUGAGCAUAGCUUUUCAGAAAAAGGGACAGCUGUGAGCCAUAAGCAGCCAACCCCAACACAGCUGGGGGAUGGGCAAACCCAGGUAAAAGGGAUCUGAAUGGGGCACCAACAGCAUCUACUACAUGGAUGUUUUUUGCAUCUCUGUUCAUGUCCCUGGAUUUCUGUAUCCUUCCCUGCCUCAAGUGUGAACUUCCUUCUCUAUCCUUUGGCCUCACACAACUAUAGUCCUGGAUCAUCCAGCUUCCUAGUCCUCACUCAGACUAGAAGCCCCCAGGUAAAUAGUUGUAUAUUCUUCGUUGUGGGUCCUUCUGGUUGUGGCAUGUGGGACGCUGCCUCAGCAUGGUUUGGUGAGCAGUGCCAUGUCCGUGCCCAAGAUUCGAACCAACGAAACACUGGGCCGCCUGCUGCGGAGCACGCGAACUUAACCACUUGGCCACGGGGCCAGCCCCGGGAUGAAUUUCUUUAACAUAUUAAAGAACUUCAGAGUUAAUCUCAAAUUCCUGCUUCAAUGAUCUGUGUCGUGUCUUUGCCACACAAAGACGGACAGAUACUAUCAUUUCCAUUGUGGAGUCUUAAUGAAACUGUGGCAGAAACGCAGGCAAGACACCAAAACCACCACUGAAGUAGCCCUAUGUGUCUUAUUUUAAUCAAGGACAAGGUGAUAUUGAAAAAACUUCCUGAGUUAAAUAGUUGAUGGUAGGGCCACCCCUAUCAGAUACUGGCCCUUUGUGUGACUUAAAACAGAGCACCUAUUCAGGUUUAUGAAAUACUGAAAAGUGUCCCCUCUAGGUGGACAACUUACAAAGAAGUCGUUCUUUCUUCCUGACCGGGAGGCCUGUGAGGAGGCAUAAGAGUUGGUUAGUGAAGUGCAGCAGGUUUCAACCCUCACUCACACCUUUCACCUGAGACCUUUGCAGAGAGCACAACUUGCAUGUCAGUAUAUGGUGGCCCUGGUUGUAGGAGUCUGAUCAUCGUGACUUGACUGGUUUUCCAUUCUUUGAUAUGACCUCUCAUGUUUGUCAAAAGACAUCAAUCCUACAAAAUUGAUGAGGGGUGCCAUGUCUCAAGAUGUGCCUCAACCAUCUCCAUAAUCUAGACAUUGAUGAGUGCUUCCAAGACAAAGAGGCCCAAAAGGAUGUAUUCUGGAUAGCCUCUCUGUCUGUAUUCUUCUUUCAUUCUUAUCACAUGAGAAGACUUGCCUUGGAACUUUGGCACUGAACCAAGGGGCCCCUGCCAUUUUAACUGAGGUUCUAGGAUCACUUGCUUGUGUAGGAGGUCUAAGGUGGCAUUACUAUGCUAAUCUGUGUAAAUCUUUCCGCCUGGGGAUUUUACAAUAGUCAACCCAUUAGCACAACAUCCGUUAGAAACAUCUGACAUUGAAUUCUGUUUCUAAAAUUCCUGGAAACUUAUCACUGGAAAAAAAAAACCCAACAACUGAUGAUUCUUCCCCGACAUUGAAAUCAUUGCAGUGUAAUCAGUUAAUGUGUUUACUUCCAAUGUUAUAGUGGAGAAAGCCUGGAAGAAAG
Molecule: long non-coding RNA, 1880 nt
Filed under: Equus asinus (donkey)
Lineage: Eukaryota; Metazoa; Chordata; Mammalia; Perissodactyla; Equidae
Description: lncRNA (ENSEASG00005037997.1)
Source: RNAcentral